GUCAGGGUCACAGGGCAGAGGCAGCUCCAGGGGGAAUCUCUGACCCUUCCCAAGCAGUGAAAGUUGGGAAGUGUCUCCCCCUGCAGCUGUGGCUUCCAGCAGAGACCGGAGACUAGAACCAGCAGCACUUACAGAGAUUUAUAGCCCGUGGAAAAGAGCUUCUCAGCUCACAUGUUUACUUCAGAGAACUCUGUGGAGGCCUCAAGGGCCAGGGUCAACAUACACCACUGCAGCUUUGCCUUUCAAGCGUUUCGGGCCACGUUAUGUGUUUGGAAGACAGCAAUGGGGUAAGUGGGGAGGGCAACAGGCAUUACUGAAAAUUCACAAACAUACAUGGUUUGGGCAUGUCUAGGUAGUGUAUAGUUAAUGAUGAUGUUCCCUUUUGUUCCUUACCACUUAGAGGGAAAAAAAAAAGCAUUAAAAAAAAAAAAAAAAUCCUUACAAAUUGAGAGUUCCCAGGAGAUUGGAGUUAAUCCUCCGCAGCUAACCAAGGGAUAGUUGUCACCUUGAACAUUGCAGCACUGUCAGGGUUUUUGGGGUGCUCUGCUUGAAUGACUAAAGGAGACCCCCCUCUCCCACCCAAUCCCCUUCCAUGCCCAGGCUUGGCUGGCAGCUUUUCCCUCGCCUGUGUCACCUCCUUCUGUUCCUCUGAUUCCUCCCCCUUACACUACUCCUGGCUCCCUCUCGGACCAAGUCCCAAAGGACAUGGGGGAUGCAUAACCGGCCGGGAAGUGAGUGGCCACUGGUUUAAUGGCAACCGGCACCUUCCCCUCUUCCAGGAGGAAAGGCUGUUUAUGUGGUUUUGUAAAAUACGCAGAAGCUAUGAAAACAAGCACUCUAUCAAUAAUAAAUGGAAUGGAAAACAGAAGCAAACAAGUCAAAGAAAGAUGCGGUGGAAGCUCUCCGCAUCUAUGACUCUGUAACCGUCAGUAGCUACUGCCUCCAUCUGCUUUCAUCACUGCAGAGGCAGACAGCAAGACUCCGCAAGAUCGUCGACUUUCAGACUUGAAGCCACAUCCGGUCUGCUAAAAUGCACAGGUGUUUAGCUCUGUUUCUUUAACCAGUGACAUGAUCAUAU
This 1078-nucleotide long non-coding RNA is filed under the name Macaca mulatta (Rhesus monkey). RNAcentral's name for it is "lncRNA (ENSMMUG00000052961.1)". The record is from RNAcentral. Lineage: Eukaryota; Metazoa; Chordata; Mammalia; Primates; Cercopithecidae.